This is a long non-coding RNA of Daucus carota subsp. sativus, 1755 nucleotides long. RefSeq lists it as uncharacterized. The record is from RefSeq and is a predicted model, not a curated record. The transcript has 4 exons. NCBI's taxonomy places the organism in Eukaryota, Viridiplantae, Streptophyta, Magnoliopsida, Apiales, Apiaceae.
AAAUCCCGUCUAAAAUUUUCACUCAUACUCAAAACAACUCCAUCUCUCUGUCUCAUUCGUCGCACCUCUCUCUCUCUCUCUCUCAGUCUCGCACCUCUCUCUCUCUCACCUCUCUCGCACCUCUCUUAUUCUUCUUAGUCUCUCACGCAAGGCACUUCUGUUUAUCGCAUACGUUUGGGUUUCAGUUACAUCUCAAUUGCGAAUUAGGGUUUGUCGAUUUGGGGGUUUUCAAUAUUGAGUUCAAAUUAGGACUUAUUAACUCAAACUUCUUCGAUAAUCGCUCUCAUUCUUUGUUUGUAGGUACGAUUUGAGUUACUGGGUUUCGAUUUGUGUUAAGAUAAAUCCCCCCUCUCUAUCUAUUGUUUAUUUGGGCGCUUGUUCAACCCUCUCUAUGCUUAUUUGAGUGUUCAGUGUGCUUAUUUUGGGUUCAAUUUUAGUGCUUGUCCUAUAGUUAAGUUAGGGCUUAUUUGAGUACAAAUUUGGGUCAUUGCCUGGGCGUGGUUUCGGUGGCUGCUCACUCCUAUGGAAGAAUCGCUGCCUCCGCUUCAAUUGAAAGCUUUGUUCGAGUUUUUGAUAUCCAAUCCAACAAUACUAUUGCUACUCUUGAAGCUUCUCCCUCUGAAGCUUGGCAAUUGAAGUUUAAUCCCCAGGUCCACCACAACCCUCUCACCCCCUCCCUCCCUCCCUCUCUCUCUCCCUCCCUCCCUCUCCCUCUCGAUUGAGCAAUUGAAUAUAUAUAACUUUCCUACUCCAAGACUAAUACUGUAUUGGGCAUGCUAUGUGUACUUUGAAUACUUGAAUCUUAUUAAGCUGCUAUGUGUACUUUGAAUACUUGAACGUCAUUCUCUUUUCUUUUGCUCUCUAAAUUGAUCCAUUAAAUGUACUCCUACUAUAUUAUUUCAGGGGUCUAGUACAUACAUAUCUUUCAGUGGGUGUUUUACUUCGAGAAUAUAUUCUCUUGACUAUUUAGCAAAUUUGUAUUAUAGGUUACUCAUUUUAGCAGGAAAAGCCCCAAUUGUAUGCGGUAAGAAGCUAUUUGGGUGCUUGUUCAAUCCUCUCUAUGCUUAUUUGAGCCUCUGAAUGAGAAGGUCUUAGCGCAAGUCGGUUGAUGGACCCUGUUCAUGGCUCUGAAUAUGUGCUAACAUAUGAAGACAAGGAUGGUGACUCGAUGCUUGUUGGUAAUGUUCGUUGGAAGUGGACUUUAAGUCAAAGUUGGAUAAAUUCAUUAGAAAAAAGAAAAAAAAAGAGAGAAGUGGUUCGAAGAGGAAAAAUCAAUAAAAAAUAUAAUGCCUGCAAGACAUUGUACCUGGUUGCCACAAGGUGAAGUCAUGCAAGUUACCUGCACUCUUUUGACUUGUAAUUUACUUUGAAGUUGGUAGAUGAUAUCAGUUUCAUCUUGAAUAUAUAAAGUUCAGAAGUUGCACCAGCUCAAAUUUAUAGAGAACUCGGUUUAUUCGGAUUCUACAAGAACACUAUUAGUUCAAGCAACUACAAAUCAAGAGCUUUCAUUAGUGUGGAGCAGGUUCUUAGUAAAUGGAAGAAGUAGAAUGGAAUGGAUAGGUAAAGAGAGGAUGAUUUAUGAUAACAACUCAGUUGAAGUUGCUAGUUUCUCAUCUUUUUGCUACUACUGGUGAUGUUUGGUUGAAUUUGUUAGCUACUUUGAUUUACUUUGAUUUGGUUUAAUUUGUUAGGUACUCUGAUUUGUACGAAAGAAAAUUUAUUGGGUUGUUUAAUAUUUAAAAAAUAUAUUUCCAA